This 253-nucleotide ribosomal RNA is filed under the name uncultured bacterium. RNAcentral describes it as "partial 16S ribosomal RNA". It matches the Rfam family "Bacterial small subunit ribosomal RNA", at positions 524 to 776 of the family's 1533-position model. The record is from RNAcentral.
UACGUAGGUGGCAAGCGUUGUCCGGAUUUACUGGGCGUAAAGAGCGCGCAGGCGGUUGAUUAAGUCGAAUGUGAAAGCCCCCGGCUCAACUGGGGAGGGUCAUUCGAUACUGAUCGACUUGAAGGCAGGAGAGGGAAGUGGAAUUCCGGGUGUAGUGGUGAAAUGCGUAGAUAUCGUGGGGAAUGCCAAAGGCGAAGGCAUGUAACUGGAACACUGCUGACGCUCAUGCACGAAAGCGUGGGGAGCAAAAAGG